Sorghum bicolor (sorghum) is the source of this 1887-nucleotide RNA transcript. It is a transcript of the gene named N-glycosylase/DNA lyase OGG1, with no coding region annotated. The transcript is spliced from 4 exons. Lineage: Eukaryota; Viridiplantae; Streptophyta; Magnoliopsida; Poales; Poaceae. The record is from RefSeq and is a predicted model, not a curated record.
AUGCGCCUCCCGCUUCUUCCACGGUCUCCUCCCCUCGCCGCCAUGCCUCCUCGCCGCCGCCGCGUUGUCAGAGCGCCGCUGCUCACGCCGUCUCCUCCACAGCCCUCCUCUACCCCGCCGCCGGUCCCGUCCGUAGAGGCCCCCAAACCCGAAACCCCCGACCACCACGAUCCCACUCCCUCCGCCCGUCGCCGUCUCCCCCUCGCUGCCGGGGCCGUUGAGGCGCAGGAAGAGUGGCAUCCGCUCCCGCUCUCCACGGCCGACCUUUCCCUCCCGCUCACCCUCCCCACCGGCCAGACCUUCCUCUGGCGCCGCACCUCCCUCUCCCCGCUCCGCUUCACCGGUGCCGUGGGGCCCCACCUCGUCUCCCUCUCCCACCUGCCGGACUCCGACGAUGGCCGCCUCGCAUUCCUCCUCCACAACGACGGCAGUUGCCCCGCCUCCUCGGUGCCCGCCGCCCGCGCCGCACUCUGCGACUAUCUCAACGCGGCCGUCUCGCUCGCCGACCUCUGGCGGCAGUUCGCCGCCGCAGACGAGCGCUUCGCUGAGGUCUCCGCGCGUCUCGGGGGCGGCGGCGCCCGGGUGCUCAGGCAGGACCCCGUCGAGUGCGUCUUCCAGUUCCUCUGCUCCUCCAACAACAACAUUGCCCGGAUCGAGAAGAUGGUGUGGACGCUGGCAGGCUACGGGGAGCGGCUCGGCGAGGUUGGUGGGUUCGUGUUCCACCGGUUCCCCACGAUCGAGCGGCUCGCGCGCGUGUCGGAGCAGGAACUUCGUGAGGCCGGGUUCGGGUACAGGGCAAAGUACAUUGUUGGCACUGCUAAAGAAUUGCAGGCCAAACCUGGUGGAGGUGAAAAAUGGCUUGCCUCACUGCGUGAGAAGGAGCUUUCAUAUGUGAUUGAAGCCCUUUGCACUCUGCCAGGUGUUGGUCCAAAGGUCGCUGCCUGCAUUGCUCUGUUCUCCCUUGAUCAAAACCAUGCUAUUCCUGUCGACACUCAUGUUUGGAAGGUUGCUACACAGUAUCUACUACCAGAGCUAGCUGGCAAGAGCUUGACCCCAAAACUUAGUGUUAUUGUUGCCGAUGCCUUUGUUACUAGAUUUGGAAGCUAUGCUGGUUGGGCACAAAAUGUUCUUUUCAUUGGCCAGCUACCAGCCCAAAAACUUGUGGUGGCUCAAGUUAACAGUGACAAUGGUACCACAAAACCUACCAAAAGGAAGCGCGGGGUGCAACCGAAACCAUGUUGAGAAGAUGUGAUCAUAUGGCGCACGGAUACCACUAUACCAGUGAUAGUGGGUUUGUCAUUCUUCUGUGCUAUUCUCAUUCAGUAAGAUGAUUUCAUAUGACUAUGACAAACGAUCUUCUGCUUAACAGGGAGGUAUUUGGUGGCUGCUGAAUUGGCAUGUCGUUUUCUCGAAAUCCUGAUGAAAUCAAGUGCAGAUAAAUUAAAAUCUGGACAGGCAAGCAAUACGACAGUCAGAACUCAGAACUUGAUGGCAACUUUCUGUCCUCUGGGAGUAGGAAUCCGUGAGAAGGAACAGCAAAUCAGAAGGGACAUCUUAAGAGAAAUCCGUCAGCACUUUGUAACAAGUACCUGCUGCAGACUAUAGUAUGCAAAUUCCCCAGUUCUAAUUAGAAUUAGAAUGCAAGUACUACCAAUGGUGGCAGUUUUUUAGGAGAGAAUGUAUACCAAUGAUGGUGGUUUUUUAGGAGAGAAUGUAUAUCAGCAUGUGAUGGGAGCAUCUUGCUUGACGAUACAUCAGGCUUAUGAUACUAGCGUAUCAACUGUAUAUUGCAUGACCUUGUAAAGUCAAGGACCUUAUAAUUGUAGAUUAUACAUGUAUACCUGUAUACAAGAAUAAAGAACCACUUAUCCUUUGGAAUAAUGUUAA